RNAcentral lists this long non-coding RNA (20178 nucleotides) under Gossypium barbadense (sea-island cotton). RNAcentral describes it as "long non-coding RNA (GBAR_LNC006261)". The record is from RNAcentral. Lineage: Eukaryota; Viridiplantae; Streptophyta; Magnoliopsida; Malvales; Malvaceae.
UUUUUUUUAUUUUACUGAAAACAAUUUAGGCUCUCUAUUCGAUUGAAAAGCUACCUCACGGAUUGAGAUGGCAUUAGUGGAUAAGAGUUUGGAAAAUUUGAGUCUUGAUGAGGAAGAAGACAAAGGGCUCCAAUUUGUAGUAGAAGAAGGACCACAACAAUCAGUAUAUGAUUUAUGUUUAGUUGGAUGUGCCCUUAUUGCAAGUGUGGUCAAUUUCUUAGCCAUGAAAAAUGCAAUGGCUAAUUUAUGGCACCCGCUAGGGGGAAUUCAAAUCUCUAAAAUUGGAGAAAAAAUGUAUUUGUUCAGAUUUUUCUAUGAGGUUGAUUUGGAGCGGGUGAUAAGUGGAACACCUUGGACCUUUAAUAAUCAUCUACUUAUCCUCUACAAAUUAAAAAAUGGUGAGGAUCCAAGUUCUAUUCUAUUAGAGUUUUUUCUUAUUUUUGGGUGCAAAUUCAUAAUCUUCCACUAGGUUUUUUUACUGAUCAUGUGGCACAAUUAUUGGGAAAUUUUAUUGGAAAAUUUUUAGAACAUGAUACAAAACAACUUAAUCAAGGCUUUAGAAAUUUCAUGCGAAUUAGAGUUCAAAUUGAUAUUAGGAAUCCUCUCAAGAGAAAAAAGAAGAUCUUGAUCCCCCAUUAAGAUCCAAUUUUUGUGAGAUUUCGCUACGAAAAAUUAUCUUUAUUUUGCUUUCUUUGCAGAUGUUGGGACAUGGAGACAAAUUUUGCCAAAAAAGGAUUAAUUUAGGAUUGAAAGAAGUGGAGUAUGGAUGGGAUGUUUCACUUAGGGCGUAGCCUAGGAGGGUGAGCAUCACUCCAAGCGCUUGGUUAAGGGAAGAUAAUGUAGGAAGUAUUUUUGGGAAAGGGAAUGAGAAGGAAGAUGUUCGUAAUAAUCUAGGCUGGCGACAAGAAUUGGGAUUUAAUAGUCAAACUUUGGGGUUUAAUUUAAAAGGAGAAAAACAUCAAGAAAAAGGAAAAGGUAUAAUAUGGCAAAGCGAUGGAGAGAGAAGACAUGGUAGAGGAUAUGGAAGAUAUUCCAUUAGAGAAUGAAGAAGGGAAAAAGACAUUUAGGUCAGGAGAUCACAAAGUUGUGGAUGGACAAGGGGAACGAAGAGAGAAUUACUUUAAAAACCAGAUAUCGAUGACUGCCAAUAGACAAGCCGACCGGUCACAACGAAAAUCUUAAAUUGGAACGUCCUUGGAUUGGGGAGUCCACAGGGCGUUAGAAAACUUCAGCAUAUGCUGAAAAUUUAUAAUCCCCAAACUGUUUUCUUAAUGGAAACAAAAUUAAAUAAUUCUCGAAUGGAAAGGGUUCGACAAUGAUGUGGAUUUAAUUACGGUAUCGAAGUCCCAGCAAUAGGAACAAGAGAAGGGUUAAGUCUUGGUUGGAAAAAUGAUGUAACGAUCAAUUUAAGAAGCUUCUCCAAACAUCAUAUUGACGUCGACAUUGAGGAUAAUGAAAUUAGGGCAAAUUGGAGAUUAACAGGUUUCUAUGAUGCAUCAGAAGCUCGUGGAAGGGGUGAGGCUUGGGAUAUUUUAAGGAGAUUAGGAAGGGAAUAAGAGUCAAAUUGGUUGGUUUGUGGAGAUUUUAAUGAGAUUUUAUAUGCUUUCGAAAAGGAAAGGGGUCUACCUAGGAGGAAGGUCGAAUGGAAUAAUUUUGAACAGUUCUUUGUGAUUUUCGAUUGGAAGAUGUGGGUUAUGAAAGUGGUUUACAUGGGAGCGUGGCAAUCUUCCAACAACAAACAUUAAAGAACGUCUAGACAGAGGGGUUGCAAACAAAAAUUGGUUAGAAUCAUUUCCUGAAAUCACAAUACGGCAUUAGCCGCAUUCUUUCUCGGACCAUUGCCCUUUGCUUUUAGAAACAAAAAUUGAAGGGAUAUUUAAAAGAACGGUAGAAUUUAGAUUUGAAGCAUGGUGGACUAUGGAAACCUCUUGUGAGACGGAAGUGAAAAGGCUUUGGACAAUGAAUAAUGGAGGGGUUAUAGAAAAAUUAAAAUCAGUGGGCAAAGGAUUAUAGAGAUGGGCUAUGGGAAUAAGAAAGUUCAGAAGAGGAUUGACAAAAAAGUUAUUAGCCUGAAUCGAAGAUCUUGAUGGAAAGGAAAGGACAGAUGAAAACUUGGCUGAACUAAUUGAUGUUAAAAUCAACUUGAAUUUGGAAAUUGAUAAAGAAGAAAAAUAUUGGGAACAACGAGAUAGAAUGAAUUGGCUGAAAGAAGGCGAUAGGAAUACAAAAUUUUUCCAUAAUUUUGCUUUCCAUAGAAGAAGAAUAAACAGAAUUGAAGAGCUAGAGAACGAACACGGCCAGUUAGUUUCUGAUAGAAAAGCAAUGAAGGACGUGGCUAAACGAUAUUUUGAAAACUUGUUUUCAUUAAGAGGAGUUGGUAAUCUUGAUAACAUAUUGUCAGGAAUUGGAACGCACAUAUCAUAUUCUAUGAAUAUCAAUCUAAGUAAAGACUUUACUAGUGAUGAAGUUUUUUCAGCACUUCAAAGCAUGGGACCGACAAAAGUAGCUGGAUGUGAUGCUUUUCCAGCCUUAUUUUUCCAAAAGUUUUAGCAUAUUAUUGGAAAAGAAGUUGGAGAUUUCUGUCUUAAGAGUUUAAAUGAGGGAGGGCUAAUUGAAGAUAUUAAUUUAACAAAUAUUGUGCUUAUACCAAAAGUGGCAAGCUCUACCAACCUAAAAAAUUUUCGGCCUAUUAGUUUAUGUACAGUCAAGUACAAGAUUAUCGCUAAGACAGUGGCAAAUAGGCUUCAACACAUUCUUGAUAAAUGUAUUGAUAAAGCCCAGAGUGCAUUCGUUCCAAGAAGACUCAUUACAGAUAGCAUCCUACUGGCCUAUGAAUUAACGCAUUCAUUAAAACAAAAAAGAGCAGGCAACAAUGGAAGUUUGCCCUAAAAUUGAAUAUGAGUAAAGUGUAACAUCCUUUACCUGAGACCCGAGACCAAGACCAGGUACGAGGCGUCACCAGACAUGUACUCAAACAUUUUUAGUAAAUAAGGGUUAUAAAAUUUCGUUCCAAAUUGAAACUAAUCCAACAACAACUUGGUGUCCCUAUUAUGAGCCUACGAGACCCUAAACAUACAUUGAGAACGAUCCGAGAUUAAACCGAGAACUUAAGAAAGUUCCUGGAAAAUUUUCUAGGUUAAGCCUCAAACGCUCGUGUGGAGGCAAUGCACACAGCCGUGUGCUUUGGGACACGCCCAUGUCCCCUACCCGUAUGGAAUUUAUUGAAUUUAUAACCUACAAGGGUUUUCACAUGGCCAAGCACAUGCCCGUGUCCUUCACACGGCCUAGACAUGUCUGUGUCCCUGGCCCAUGUCCUUCACAUGGCCUAGACAUGCCUGUGUGGUCGCCUAUGUCCAAGAACUCGAGCAUUCUUUUUAUGACGUCAGCAUGCAUUUAAGGGCACACGGCCAAGACACACGCCCGUGUGCUAGGCUGUGCCCUCCACACAGUUGAGACACACGGCCAUGUCUCUACCCGUUUGUUUACUACCAUGCAUUCUGACUUAAAAUUUUCAGGUGCAGGGGACACACAGCCAUAUCACAUGCCCAUGGGGUGAUCCGUGUGUCACACACAGCCAAGACACAAGCUCGUAUGUCUACCCGUGUGGACCUUGUUGGGCUAUUUUCUAAGCCUUUGAUCACCCUCUAAUGUUCAUACCCACUUAUAGUUUUCAAUAACACUUGGCAUGGUCUAAUUAUACUCUUAAAUGACAUUGAUAAACCUCAUUGCAUGUAAACCUCAUCUCAUCGAUUUUAUACAUGUUUGAUUAUCCUUUUUAUAUUAAGGAUUUCUAUGACUAAUAACUCAAUUUAGCUUGGCUCAUUGUCUUAACUCAUUGCCAAAUUGUGGCCUAACCACCCCAUGUGAUUUGGUUAUAUUGUAUAUGACUAAUUGUAACACACCAUAUUUAAUCAUCACAAGAACAUUGGAACAUAAUCAUGCACAAUUUGGUAGGUCAUAACCUACACUAAAAUGAGCCAAUUCCUAUGGCCAUAUACAAGUGAAUAUGUAUACUUUUAUAAGCCUUCAUAUUGGCUAAUCAAAUGACACACAUAACAAAAUAAUAAAAGCCCUAUACAUGUCAUUGAAUAAAACAAAAGUAAAUAUAUACCAAAGCUAGAUGAGAUGAUAGUGUGUUGAUUCUCCAACCGUCUUCCAACCUCUAUGAGUCCUCGAGCUCUGUAAGACAGGGAAAAGAGAGGGGUAAGCAUUUACAUGCUUAGUAAGCCCUAAUAACUGGGAAGUAAACUUACCAAUUAAUUAGCAUACAUCCAUAUUAGGUAAUAAAACCAACAAGAAUGAAAUAGUUUCCCUAUCAUAUGCACUCAAUCAACAAGUUAGUCCAUAACAAUACACCAUGUAAUUUGUCUUAAAUGAGCUCAUUAUCCAAGAAUUUCAUUUUUACAUCUCAUGUUAAUCCCAUGGAGUUUCUCGGAAAUCUCGAUGGAUUAUCCAUUUACCGUCAAGUCAUAAGAGCGAUCAUCUCAAGUACGCACUCCCGUGAACCUCACAUCAUAUAGCGGGAUUACCAGUCCAGGCUAAAUCCUCCGUAAUAUCAACUCAUAGGGUGAUGUCGGGAUUACUAGUCCAGGCUAAAUCCCUUGUAGUGACAAACACCCGUAAUGAGCUCAGAUCUGAAUUACCACUCCAUUCUAAAUUCAGACCCUAAUCGAAUUACCCAUCCGGGCUAAAUCCACAAUGCACACUGUAAGGACCCAAAUUUGCCCGGGCCCGAAGAAAAAACCAAAAUUAAAAAAAUCAUAAUUAAGUGUCCACAAGUACAAAUUACAUAACCCAGGUCUAAACCCAAAACAUUACAAACCCAAACCCAAAUUUUAGACCCAAAACCAAAUUAACACCAAUCCCAUGUCCCUAAUAUAAACCGAUACCCAGAAUGGGUCCAAACGGCCCAAGUACCAAACCAACUUCAGCAAACCCUAGGUCAUCCCCUUUCUCCUACGCCGCAAUAGCAACCCCAGCCUUCGUACUAGUGACCACGCCCUUGCACUGUACGACGCACCAGCACCAGUGCGCACCCCACACCUGUAGAAACAGACAAAGCAAUAACAGCACAUACCCAAUGCGAAAGCAAAGAAAUAAUUUUGUAUUUUUAUUUAUUUAUUUCUACCAUUUUCGGCUAUAAAGCCAGAAUUUUAAUCUUUGUAAAAGGAGGCACACUUACGCAUACAGAUAUUAAAUACAAAGAAAGAAAGAGAGGAAGGUGAUUUUCCUUUCUUUGAAUCUCCGAAUUUGUUGCGUUUUUUUCUUGAUCUAUUCCUUUCGACUUCUUUUUUUUUCAUUUUUCGCAUCUAAAACAAUAAAAAGAAAAGAAGAGAGUGAAACGAAACCUUACCUCGCAAAUCCGCUGUUGGUUCUUCCUUGCCUCGUCGAAGUCGAAGGUGGAGGAGGAAUCUUGAGGCCGAAAAUCCUCUUCAAAAGGCGAAUACGCCUGUGGUUGGAGACGAUGGGGGUGAGAGCCAAAUGAUUUGGCUAAAGGUCGGCUAAAAAAUAAACGAAAUGGGGACUAAGGUUUUGAAAUGGCUGAAUAGCCAAAUUUAGGGGUUUUUAAAGGUCUGAAUACGGUGUCGUUUUGGGCCUGAUUCAGUGGCUCCAAAAACGGCGUCAUUUAGAUGUUAGAGCUCCGCGCGUCGACCCGUCCCAGGACCCGGAUCCACGCCUCUAUGCCUCGAAUGGGGAAUUUGCAAUAUCAAUCCUUCCCUUUGUGCGCGCAUUCCAUUGGAAUCCUUAUGCGAUUUUAAUAUUUAAACUUUUUACUUUUAAUUCCAUUUUGAUUUCAAUUUAGUCCUUCCUUUAAUCUCAGCAGUGUAUUUUAUUUAUUAAAUAUCCUUUAGUUUAUUUUUCAUUUUAAUUGAAUCCUUUUAAUUUGUAUAGUUCAUUAUUUUUUUUAAUUCGUUUAGCAUUUAUUUUAUUUUCAUAUACAUUUUAAAUUACUUUGAUAAUUCACUCUUUUUUAUUAUAAAACUAUUAUCUUAAAAUUACUUUGUAUAUCAUGUUGUUGUCAAAAUUUUGUAUAAUAUUUAAUUUAUAUUUAAUUUAUAUUAAUACAUGUAUGAUUUAUGAUAAAUGUAGUUUUAUUUUGUACACAUUAUUAGUUCUAUGUUAUUUUACACAUGUAAUUUCUUUUAAAUCUAUUUAUUUGUAUUUCUUUUUAAAUUUAUUACGCAUAUAAUUUAUUCUCUAAAAACAUGUUUUAUUAUUUCCUUGUUAUUUAAAAUUAUUUCAUGUAUAUAUUGUUUUAUCAUAUAUUGGUUUGCUAUUCUGUCAUGUAUAUUGUUUAUUCUUUAUCUUUAUUAUAUCUUCAUUAUAUAUUAUUUACAUUGAUUUUCAUUAUUGUAUAUAUAUCACCACCCUUAAGUAGAUAUUUUGUUUUUAAAAAUAUUUUUGGUAUGAUAUUUGCUCCAAAUCUCUUCUUUCACAAUGUUUAUUUCGAUAUUAUUUAUUAGUUUUAUUUUUAUAUAUGCAAAUCAUUUCAAACCCAGAUGUUGCUUAUUUGUAAUUUUUCAUAUUAAAUAGUUUUCAAAUUGUUUCCAUAUUGUUUUGUAUAUUGUUUAUAUUGUUUUGUUAUAAAUUUAUUUUCAUACUUAUAUAUACGUAAAUGUUUCCUAUAUUAUCAGUUUUGAAUAGUUGAACAUUAUGUUUUUAUAUGCAUUGUUGAUCUUCUAUUAUUUCAUGUAUUUUCCUUUAAAUCUAUUUCAUUGUACAUUUCCUUUUAAAUCAUUUUUUAUACAUAUAUAUACAUAUAUAAAUUAAAAAAACCUAUUAUGUGUAUAGUUCAUUACACAAAAACAUAUUUUAUUACAUAUUCUUUUGUUAUUUAAGAACCUGAUACGAGAUCAAAGGCCCGACAAAUGCGUUCCAAACUAAAUGGGACCAUCCAGGAGUUUGUUAGUAAGGCCUUAGAUGCGUACACAAAAGAAAAGGAAAAUCAAGAUUUCAAAUAUUGGGAAUCUUGGUCCAAGACACCAAAUCUUGCAGCCAAAGCGCAUUGGAUCUCCAUUACGAGCAUCAACGAUUCAAUUUCGGUAGGAGAUGGAUCACAAGCCCAAAUUCUUGAGGGCAAGGCCCAAUAAGAAGAUUCCAAGCCCAAUCAAGAAAUCCACCCAUACUUAGUUGAAAAUCAGGCCAAAUUUCAAAGUGGCCCAAGUUGUAAAGUUUUAUUUUUAUUUAUUUAUUUUAUUUAGUUUAAAUUUUUAUAUUCAGUCCAAGAGUCCCAAAUAAAAGACCCUUGGCCGAAUUUCCAUAUUAAAAUAAUUAGGAGUUUUUUUUAGUUUUAGUUUUAGUGUUCUAAUUAAAUUAGGAAAACAUUUGAAAGGCCUAUUUAUAUGGCUUGGCUAGCCACCCUACAUUACAUUACAAUUACAUUGAAAAUUUCAGAUUUUAUUUGAGUGAAAAUUCUCUUUGAGUUCUUCAAGGAUUUUCUCUUGAGUUUUCUUUAGAAGUUGUUUUAACAAUCUUUUUGAUUGUGGGAGCCAUCUUCAACCUUCUUCUUGCCAUUGAUAUUCUUUGGAGGGGAGAUUAGAGCCGUUUGAAGGGAGUUGUGAGAUCUUUCGGGAUUUCAAGGCUUCUUAGGACUUAUCUUUUAAUUUCUUACUGUCAAUUCUUUCUUUAUUUCUGCUUGUGCCGAAUCUUUAUCUAAUUUAUUUUCUGUUCUUAUUGUGUUUUCAGCUUUUUUCUAUCUUAAGGAAUUAGCCCAAAAAUCUCCAAUUUUUAGGGUUCUUGCCGAUUCAUCCAUACUCUUUUUGGGAGAAAUUAGAUUGCCGAAAUUUGGGGAAAACUAUCUGGGUGUUCAAUUGGGCAGAAUCGCAAUCUCUUCUAGGGUUUCAAGAUUCCUUAUUAACACUUAUUUCUAUUCUCAAUUUGAUUCUUUGCUGAUUUGGGGAUUUUAUUUCAGAUCUGAAAAUUCAAAAAUCUAAUCUUUUAAUUUUCUGUUUCGUUUCAGAUCUAAUUGUUUAGGGUUUUCGUAGGAGUUUCCCGUGACUUGACAACUCGAUCUUGGUCCGCGCGCAACCCCGUAUCAUUUGGUAUCAGAUUUUGGGCGUUUUGGGUGUUCUUGGUUGAUUUCUAAACUGAUCUCUAUUUUUAAAAUUACAAACAGCAGUUUUACCUAGAAAAAUUUUCGAAAAAAAUUCAUUUGAGUGGGUAAACGUUUUCUGAUUGAUCUGAAAUUUUACAUACAUAUUUUUGGCACUGUUAUUGAAUAUAAAAAAAUAUUUCCCGCAAAAAAAUAAGUCGAAAAAGUCAAAAAAUUGAAAAAGACGAAAUCCAAUAAAAAGAUUAAAAAAAUUUUCAGCGGGUUGAAUUUGGUGCCCAAAUUUUCCAGAUCAAAAAUUCAAUAUUUGAAGACAUUCCAGAUUUAAUUUUGUGAUUUUUGUAGAUCGGGAACACCUCGAACGAAGUUGUCAAGUUACUCCGCAGUUUUUCGGGUUUUCUGUUUUCAGCAAUUUCUAUUGAUUCUUAGCUGUAGGUUUUCAUUUGUUUCCCUUUAUUCUUCCUUUACGUUAUCUAACACCUUCUUGUUUCUUGUGUUAGUAGGAUUUAAACGUGUGCACAACUUCUUCCUCGGUGCAACACGAAUCAAUUGGUGUCUCGUCAGUUUUUGGCAUCCUAGUGCAAAUUAGGAUUCUUUGGUAGUUUGGUUCAGACUCUCUAAUUGGUUGAUAUAAACUCUGAUAAAGAACUCACAAGAUUGAAUUCGACCUCAUUGAGAAUUUGAUUUUUUCUUUUUGAGUGAUUAACGGUGAGGUUUGAUAACUUUUAUUUUUGAGUGUUGAGUGUUUUGCAGGUUUUAAAAAAAAAUGUCUACAGGUGAUAAUAAUAGUGACAUAUUUAAAAAAUUCCAACAACAGUUGGAUGAACAGGCUGCUGCUCUUCGAGCUUUGACUGCUACCAUUAAUGAGGUGCGAUUGAAUCAAGAACCUCAUCCAAUCAAAGAAGAUAGGGAUAACCAACCCCAAAGGCGCGGCCCUCGACGUGUCACUAGAAUGGAUGAUAAUUUUCAUGAUCGUGGGCAACCUUCUUUGGCAAAACCGAAAUUCACAAUUCCCCAAUUUCGUGGUAAGAAUGAUCCUGACGCUUAUUGUGAAUGGGAAUCUAAGAUUGAACUUAUGUUUCGGUAUUAUAAAUGUCCGGAUGAUGAAAAGGUAGCGUUAGCAACACUGGAAUUUUCUGAUUAUGCAUUAAGUUGGUGGACUCAACUUGGGGUAAACCGCCAUCGGAAUUAUGAAGGUGAGAUUUCGACAUGGGAUGAGUUGAAACAGAUUAUGCGUAAAAGGUUUAUUCCACCUCACUACUAUAGAGAAAUUAAAACAAAGCUGAGAAGACUUAUCCAAGGUAGUAGGACGGUGGAUGAAUAUUUUAAAGAGAUGGAGAUGCUCAUUCAGAGAGCUAACAUGGAGGAGGAUGAAGAAACAACUAUGGUUCGAUUCAUUGAUGGUUUGAACAGGCCGAUAGCUAAUACAUUGAGGCUACAAACUUAUAUUGAUUUGGAAGAAGCAGUUCAUAAAGCCAUUGAGAUCGAGCAACAAUUAAAGGAACAAAGGUUUGGGUCAUUCUCUACUUCACAAUAUUACCGAGGUAACAAUUUCAAUUCUGAUUUUAAGAGUUCAAAAUCACCUUUUGUUACUAACAAGUCUUCUUUGAGUAAUGGAAGUAAACAAUCAGAUUGGAAAAAAGGGGCUCCUGCAAAAACGCAAACACCGUCUAAGCAGCCCAAUUUAAGUGAUUCGAGUGCGAAGAGGACUCGUGAGAUUGAAUGCUUUAAGUGCAAAGGGCGUGUUCAUUACAGUAGAGAAUGCCCUAACACGAGAUUACUUCUUCUAAAAGAUAACGGUGAGUACACUUCCGACUCUGAUAAUACAGAUCCAGAUAUGCCAGAACUUGUGGAUGACAGUGAUAAUGGCGACGAGUUGGUCAAACCACCAACGGAAGGGGACUUUGCUAAUUUUCAAUGCCUUGUAGUUCGUCGAACCCUUAACAUUCAGAUGAAAGAUGAUGAGAGUCAAAGGACCAAUAUUUUCCAUUCUCGGUGUUUUAUUAAAGGUAACUUAUGUUCACUCAUUAUUGAUCGUGGGAGUUGAUCGAAUGUAGUGAGUAGUUAUUUGGUGGAUUCUUUAAAGUUGCCUUGUACCAAACACCCUAAGCCAUAUCACCUUCAGUGGCUUAAUGAAUGUUCCGAAGUUAAAGUUACGAAACAGUCCUUGGUCACUUUUAAACUCGGCAAUUAUGAGGAUGACAUAUGGUGUGAUGUAGUCCCCAUGCAUGCGGCACACUUGCUCCUUGGACGACCUUGGCAAUUUGAUCGCGAUGUUACACACCAAGGUAAACUUAAUCGAUACUCCAUUGUAUUUAAAGGCAAGAAAUUCACUUUUGCUCCUUUAAAUCCUACUGAUGUAUAUAAAGAUCAAUUGAGGAUGAUAAAAUUUUGUGAGGGGGUAAUGGAGAAAGAGCAAGUACAAAAGACAGAGAGAAAAGAGGCUAAUAGUAGUGGAAAAAGUCAAAAUUUAAAAAGCCCAAAGGUGAGUGAAUCCUUUAGUGGUAAAAUGAGCGGAAAAAAUCUUUUGGCAACAAAAAAAGAUGUGAAGAGAGCCCUACUUAAUAAACAGCCUUGUAUCCUUGUGAGGUUUAGGCAAAAUUAUUUAUCUUUAUCUAACAUUAACGAAAAUUUGCCUAGUGUGUUUCAAUCUCUUUUGCAGGAUUAUGAGGAUGUUUUUAGUGAGGCCCCUAAAGGUUUACCACCUUUACGAGGGAUAGAACAUCAAAUUGACUUAGUACCCGGAGCUUCAAUCCCAAAUCGACCAGCCUAUAGAUGCAAUCCCGAUGAGACAAAGGAAUUGCAAAGGCAAGUGGAGGAAUUACUAGACAAAGGGUACAUUCGUGAGAGCCUAAGUCCUUGUGCUGUUCCUGUCUUAUUGGUGCCAAAGAAAGAUGGUACGUUUCGUAUGUGUGUUGAUUGUCGCCCAAUCAACAAGAUAACGGUAAAGUAUCGACACCCAAUCCCUAGACUUGAUGAUAUGCUUGAUGAAUUACAUGAUUCAAUAAUAUUUACAAAAAUUGAUUUAAAAAGCGGUUAUCAUCAAAUUCGAAUGAAGGAAGGGGAUGAAUGGAAAACAGCCUUUAAAACAAAAUUUGGAUUGUAUGAAUGGUUAGUUAUGCCUUUCGGCCUUACUAAUGCACCUAGUACAUUUAUGAGAUUAAUGAAUCAUGUUUUGAGGCUACAUUUGGGUAAAUUUGUAGUAGUUUACUUUGAUGAUAUUUUAAUUUACUCAAAGUCAUUAGAUGAUCAUGUUUUCCAUGUUCGAACCGUUUUGGAUCUUCUACGAAUUGAAAGAUUAUUUGCCAACCUUGAUAAAUGCACAUUCUGUUGUGAUAAACUAAUAUUCUUAGGUUUCAUAGUUAGUGCUCAAGGUAUUCAUGUCGACGAGGACAAAGUUAAGGCAAUUAAGGAGUGGCCGACUCCUAAAUCGGUAACUGAGGUGAGAUCUUUCCAUGGUUUAGCCAGUUUUUAUAGACGAUUUGUGAAAGAUUUCUCUACUAUUGCUGCCCCAUUGACUGAAGUUAUAAAGAAAUCAGUGGGUUUCAAAUGGGGUGAAACCCAAGAAAAGGCCUUUCAAACUCUAAAAGCUAAGUUAUGUUCUGUUCUUUUGCUUAAAUUACCUGAUUUUGCUAAAACUUUUGAACUUGAGUGUGAUGCUUCAAGAAUUGGAAUUGGCGCUGUUUUAAUGCAAGAUAAGCAACCUAUUGCUUAUUUUAGUGAGAAAUUGAAUGGUGCACAGUUCAACUACUCGACUUAUGACAAAGAACUAUUAGCAUUAGUUCGUGCACUUCAAGUAUGGCAACAUUAUUUGCUGCCUAAUGAGUUUGUCAUACACACAGAUCACGAAUCUCUUAAAUGGUUAAAGGGACAAGGUAAGUUGAGUAAAAGACAUGUUCGAUGGGUAGAAUUCAUUGAAACAUUCCCUUAUGUGAUACAAUAUAAAACAAGUAAAGAUAAUGUAGUUGCAGAUGCUUUGUCUAGACGAUAUACUUUAAUAACUACAUUGAAUGCUAAAGUCUUAGGGUUCGAACAUAUUAAGGAACUAUAUGAUGAUGAUGCUAAUUUCGGCCAUAUCUAUAAGAAUUGUGGACAUACUGCUUUCGAUAAAUUUUAUCUUGUAGAUGGCUUUCUUUUUCGUAUGAACAGGUUAUGCAUACCAAAGUGUUCCAUGAGAGACUUAUUGAUUCAUGAGGCCCAUAGUGGAGGUUUAAUGGGACAUUUUGGAGUGGCCAAAACACUGGAUAUUUUGCAAGAACACUUCCAUUGGCCACAUAUGAAAAAGGAUGUCGAAAAGGUAUGUUCCAAGUGCAUUACAUGCAAACAAGCAAAAUCUAAGGUAAUGCCUCAUGGCCUUUACACUCCUUUACCGAUUCCUACUUCACCUUGGGUAGAUUUAUCCAUGGACUUUAUUCUAGGUUUGCCUCGAAAUAAGAAAGGAAGAGAUAGUAUAUUUGUUGUUGUUGACAGGUUCUCAAAGAUGGCACAUUUUAUUUCUUGUCACAAAACAGAUGAUGCUACACAUGUAGCAGACUUAUUCUUUAAAGAGGUAGUAAGACUUCAUGGCAUCCCUAAAACAAUUGUUUCUGACAGAGAUGUCAAAUUUCUUAGCCACUUUUGGAAGGUAUUGUGGGGUAAGUUUGGUACUAAAUUACUUUAUUCCACUACAUGUCACCCCCAAACUGAUGGCCAAACCGAAGUAGUUAAUCGGAUCUUAGGGACUUUAUUACGAUCUGUUGUGGGAAAGAACAUUAGAAAUUGGGAAGAAUGCCUACCGUUUGUUGAAUUUGCAUAUAAUAGAUCUAUUCAUUCUACAACUGGUUAUUCUCCAUUUGAACUUGUUUAUGGUUUUAACCCACUAACAGUACUUGAUCUUGCGCCAUUACCACUUGAACACAUUGUUAAUUUAGAUGGUGAACAGAAAGCUGAGUUGGUGAAAUCCUUACAUGAGCAGGCUAGGCAACGAAUAGCCAAAACAUAUGAUGUCAACACCAACAAAGCAAACAAGGGGCGCAAACGGGUUGUCCUAGAACCCGGAGAUUGGGUUUGGGUCCAUAUGAGGAAAGAACGAUUUCCUGCAAGAAGAAAGACCAAGUUGGACCCAAGGGGCGAUGGGCCUUUCCAAGUACUCGAGAGGAUCAACGAUAAUGCCUAUAAAAUUGAUCUACCGGGUGAGUACAAUGUAAGUUCUACUUUUAAUGUGGCUGACUUGUCCCCAUUUGAUUUUUCAGAUUCGAGGUCGAAUCUUUUUGAGGAAGGGGGAAUGAUACGAGAUCAAAGGCCCGACAAAUGCGUUCCAAACUAAAUGGGACCAUCCAGGAGUUUGUUAGUAAGGCCUUAGAUGCGUACACAAAAGAAAGGAAAAAUCAAGAUUUCAAAUAUUGGGAAUCUUGGUCCAAGACACCAAAUCUUGCAGCCAAAGCGCAUUGGAUCUCCAUUACGAGCAUCAACGAUUCAAUUUCGGUAGGAGAUGGAUCACAAGCCCAAAUUCUUGAGGGUAAGGCCCAAUAAGAAGAUUCCAAGCCCAAUCAAGAAAUCCACCCAUACUUAGUUGAAAAUCAGGCCAAAUUGUCAAAGUGGCCCAAGUUGUAAAGUUUUAUUUUUAUUUAUUUAUUUAUUUAUUUUAUUUAGUUUAAAUUUUUAUAUUCAGUCCAAGAGUCCCAAAUAAAAGACCCUUGGCCGAAUUUCCAUAUUAAAAUAAUUAGGAGUUUUUUUUAGUUUUAGUUUUAGUGUUCUAAUUAAAUUAGGAAAACAUUUGAAAGGCCUAUUUAUAUGGCUUGGCCAGCCACCCUACAUUACAUUACAAUUACAUUGAAAAUUUCAGAUUUGAUUUGAGUGAAAAUUCUCUUUGAGUUCUUCAAGGAUUUUCUCUUGAGUUUUCUUUAGAAGUUGUUUUAACAAUCUUUUUGAUUGUGGGAGCCAUCUUCAACCUUCUUCUUGCCAUUGAUAUUCUUUGGAGGGGAGAUUAGAGCCGUUUGAAGGGAGUUGUGAGAUCUUUCAGGAUUUCAAGGCUUCUUAGGACUUAUCUUUUAAUUUCUUACUGUCAAUUCUUUCUUUAUUUCUGCUUGUGCCGAAUCUUUAUCUAAUUUAUUUUCUGUUCUUAUUGUGUUUUCAGCUUUUUUCUAUCUUAAGGAAUUAGCCCAAAAAUCCCUAAUUUUUAGGGUUCUUGCCGAUUCAUCCAUACUCUUUUUGGGAGAAAUUAGAUUGCCGAAAUUUGGGGAAAACUAUCUGGGUGUUCAAUUGGGCAGAAUCGCAAUCUCUUCUAGGGUUUCAAGAUUCCUUAUUAACACUUAUUUCUAUUCUCAAUUUGAUUCUUUGCUGAUUUGGGGAUUUUAUUUCAGAUCUGAAAAUUCAAAAAUCUAAUCUUUUAAUUUUCUGUUUCGUUUCAGAUCUAAUUGUUUAGGAUUUUCGUAGGAGUUUCUCGUGACUUGGCAACUCGAUCUUGGUCCGCGCGCAACCCCGUAUCAGAACCUUUCAUGUUUUGUAUAUUAUUUUUCUUUCAUUUUGUAUGUAUAUUGUCAACUUAAAAUAAAUGUAUUGUUUUGCAUGCUAUUCAAUUCAAAAUCAUUUGUAAUAAUUAUUUAUAUAGUGUUUUUAUCCAUGUAAAUUAUUUCAAAUUCGAGCAUGUAGUAUUCGUUCAUCAGUUCAUCACCCUUGUAAUUGUUUUGUAUCUUAUUGGUUUUAUCUUGUUUGAUAUAUUAUGUGGUAAUUGUUUUAUGUUAUUUCAUGUAUAUUGGUUGCACAUUAUUAAUUCGCCUUCUUACGUAUUAUUAUAUCAUUUGUUGUUCACCCAUGCUUGUAAAUUUUGUUAUUGUAAAUUAGUUGUUUGUUUGAUUUGAUGGGCUAAAUAAGAUUAUGUUAUCUUCAUUUACCAAAUUUUGUAUUUUAUGUGUAUAUGUCAUUUCGUGAUCAUUGUUUUCCUUUUGAUUUAUGAAAUGUUGCUUUAUAACUUCCAAUUCUUUGAAACUAAGUUUUUUUGAUUUAUUUCAAGUAAAAUUAAUGCGUUUUAAGCUAGUUUCACAAUUUCCUUUAAAACGAAGGCGAUAUUCGAUACUUGGUAAUUCGUGGAAUCGUGCCCUAAUGUGUUAGGUUGCAAUUCCUCGUUUGCUCAAAGUAAUCGAAGGUCCCUUUAGAAUUUCACCCACGGCUAUUAAAAAAUCCCUUAAACGAAGGUCAUAUGCGAUAUUUGGGAAUUCACGGAAUCGUACCCUAACGUGCUGGGUUGCAAUUUCUUGUCUGCUUAAAACAAUCAAAUAUCCCUUUAAAAUUUCACUCAUAUCUUUUAAAAAUCCUUUAAAACGAAGGCAAUACUCGGGGUUUGACAAUUCGGGAAUCAUGCCCUAUCGUGUUGGGUUGUGAUUUCUUAUUUGUUCAAAACAAUUGAAUAUUCCUUUAGGUUUUUUACUCAUGUUUAUUAAAAACCUUUCAAAACGAAGGCGACUCUAGAUGUUUGGCAAUUUGAGAAUUGUGCCCUAUCGUGCUGAGUUGCACUUUUUCAUUUGUUCAAGGCAAUCGAAGAUUCCUUCGGAAUUUCACUCUUAUUUUUUAAGGCGAGGUAAUGUUAAAUGUUUGAAAAUUCGAGGAAUCAUGCCCUACUGUGCUAUGUUUCAGUUUUUCGUGGGACCAAAUAGUUGGGCAUCCCUUUUGUAAUUUUUGAAUUAUAAACUUCUGAAAGUCGAAACAAGAAGAUUUUUGGCAACUCACUUGGGUUACUCAAAAAGAACCACAUUUCAAAAAUAUUUUUAAUUUUAGACAUAAGGACAGUAUUUAAUCGAUUUGGUACCAAUUUUGGGUGUAAUGAGGGUGCUAAUCCUUCCUCAUACGUAACCGACUCCCAAGCCUAUUUUCUCAUAUUCUCGUAGACCAGAAUCGUUGUUUUAAUAAACCAAAAAUGUUUUAUUAAAAUAACCAAAUUCUUAGGUGACCUGAUCACACCAAAACAAAAGGAUCGGUGACGACUCCAUGUAUUUGUUUUUCAAAAGUUGAUUCCCUCGUAUUUUCAUUAAAUUUAAAAAUUUUAAAAAUUUGAAAAAAGGGAUGGUUUCGACACACACAUAUUCUUUGGGAGGCUCGAUCACUCAAGGAACACCCGUCCGGGCUAGAUCCUUUCUAUACUUGAGAUCAACGGAUUACCCGUCUAGGCUAAAUCCUUUUCUACAACACAUGCAGGAUCUCAAGUCAUGUAAGCCAUGAUUUAUCCAUCGAAUUCCCUUUUUGACUUCAACUGGGACAUUUAUUAUCAUAUCAUUAUUAUUAACACAUUUCAUAGAUUUUCAUGCCAUCACUAUAACCAAUUAUCAUACAUUCAUAAAACAUGCAAUUAGACAUAUUAAUAGUUUACUUAAAGUUAUUUGAACUUACCUGGUAUCCAUUUGGAUUUUGCGUCUCGGUUAUUCUGAAACCUUUCGUUUUCCUCGAUCGACCUUCAGAAUUUGUUCCUCAGGGUCUAUAACAAUAAAAAUGAAUCAUUAAUACCUCAAAUUAUUCUUUUUGAGUUUAAAUUUCACCCCUAGACAAAAUGACCGUUUUGCCCCUAGCCUUUCACAUUGUUUAUGAUUUAGUCCCUAGGCUCGUAUGAUGAAAUGCAUGAAUUUUCUACAUUACCCAAGUCUAGCCGAAUGUUCUUUCCUCUUAUGGUAGCCCACAUUCUUCCAUUAUUUCACAUUUCUACCACAUAUUUUACACCUUUUGCAAAAAUGUCAUUUUAGGGGUUUUUCAUGAAAAUCACCUAGAAAAAGAUAUUUAACACACAUCCAACUUUCAUAUUCCUCCAUAAAACAUCAAAGAAUAAACAUGUCAGACAUGGGUCACUUUGAAAACAUGAACCCUAACUCAAAAUAUAGGUAGAAAUGGAGAAAGUUAUCGGGAUUUCAAAAAUACGAAGAACAUUAAAAACGAGGCUUGAGAGCACUUACUAUUGAGCUUGAAAAUGUUGAAAACCCUAGCUAUGAAGGGCUUGAGAAAUUCGGCUAGGUGAGGGAGAAGAAUGGCUGAUUUUUGCCUUCAUUUUCCAAUUUUAUUUCAUUAAUUAGCCAAAUGACCAAAAUGCCCUUAAGCCAUUUCUUUAAAAUUUUAUCCAUACAAGCUCAUUUUUGUCCAAAAACUUAGAAAUUGGGAAAAUUUCUCUUUAAGGACUUCUAAUUAAUAAUCUAAAGCAAUUUCAUGCAAAUUGCUUCUAGAAUCCAAGUUUUGACUUUAUUUAAUUUGGUCCUUAUUUUCCAAUUAGACACCUUGCUCAUAGGAUUUCUUCAUGAAACUUAACACAUGCAUAUUUUCAUAUUCUAUACCUCAUAAUAAUCAUAAAAAAAUAUUUCAACAUCGAAUUUGUGGUCCCGAAACCACUGUUCUGACUGGGCCCUAUUUUAGGAUGUUACAUAAAGCAUAUGACAGAGUGGAGCGAUUUUAUCUGAAAAAAGUCAUGCAAAAAAUAGGUUUUGUAGAGUCCUUCAUAUCGUUAAUCAUGAGAUGUGUAAAGAAGAAUAUUUAUUUGGUUUGUCUGAAUGGGAUGAUAGGCGAAAGUUUUAGACCAAUGACAGGUUUGCGACAAGGUGAUCCUUUGAGCCCAUAUCUUUUUUUAAUAUGUAGCGAAGGCUUGUCAUCUUUGAUAAGACUUGCAGCUAGGGAAGCCUCUUUAAAGGGAGCAAAGGUUUUUCGAAAAGGACCCUCAAUUACACAUUUAUUGUUUACAGAUGACCGCAUUCUUUUUGGGGACGCAUCAGUUAGAAGAACUAAUAAUCUCAAAGGUGUUUUAUGAGAGUAUGAAGUAUGCUCAGGACAAUGUAUUAACUUCAAAAAGUCAAUAGCAUAUUUUAGUACAAAUGUCUCUAAGAAAAUUCUAGAACAGGUUGCUAGCAUACUGGAAGUUCAAACCUCCAACAACCCAGAAAAAUAUCUAGGAUUACCAAAUAUGGUUGGAAGGGAUAAGAAAAGAUCUUUCCAAAUUUUAAAAGACAGGAUGAUUAGUAAGGUUAGAGGGUAGAGCACAAGAUUUUUGUCGAUAGGGGGGAAGAAGGUUUCCAUAAAAACAGUACUGCAAGCCAUUCCAACCUACACUAUAUUGUGUUUUUUAUUACCAAAUUCAUUGUGAAAGAAUUAGAAAAUAUAAUAAGCCAAUUUUGGUGGCAAAAAAAUCAUGAAAAACGUGGCAUCCACUGGUGCGAAUGGAGUAAGCUGGGUAAGUUAAAAGAGGAUGGGGGAAUGUGAUUUCGAUGUCUUUCAAAUUUUAACGUGGCUAUUCUUGCUAAAUGAAGUUGGCGUUUGAUUUAUUAUCCAAAUUCAUUAUUAGCCAAAUCUUUAAAAGCUAAAUACUACCCAAACUCAGAUUUUAUGCAUGCACGAUUAGGGAGUUUACCAUCAUAUACCUGGCAAAGCCUUUGGUCCGCAAAAGGACUUCUUGAAACAGGAAUGGGCUAACGAGUUGGGUCGGGAACUCAAAUUCAAAUCUGGAAUGAUGCAUGGAUUCAAGGCUUGGCUGACUACAAGAUUCAAUUUCCAUAAAGCACCCAAAGUCUUGUGUUAGUUUUUGAACUCAUUGAACAAAAAUCAAAUCAGAGGAAGAAAGAGUUAAUUCAAUAUACCUUCUACCAAGAUGACGCAACAAGGAUUCUUUGCAUCCCUCUCUCACUUGAAAAAGAAGUGGAUAAAAUUAUAUUGCACGAAGAAGCCUCAGGAGGUUACACAGUACGGAACGGGUAUAAAAAUUUAAUACAAUCAGAAUUAUCAACAAAUUUACAGAAAAACCAAAUUAUUUACAAACCCAUGUAUAAAUAACUUUGAAAGAUAAACUUGCCAUCCAAAAUAAAAAUUUUAGUAUGGAAGUCGUUAAAGAACUUCCUUCCUACUUUUUCUAAUCUGGUUCAAUGAAAGAUAAGAGACUCUGCGACUUGCCCAAGAUGUAGUAAUAUUGAAGAAACCAGAGAGCAUUUUUUCGGGAUUGUUUCUUUGCAACAGAAGUUUGGACAAGGCUAGGAAUUGGAUGGCCACUGGAACAAAAUCAGACACAAUUUUAGAAUUGGAUGCAUUAUUUAUUUGACAAAAAAUCAAAAAGUCAGAUAAGAAGCAUUGCAUGUGGUAUAUGGGGCUUAUUGUCUGCAAGAAAUAGGCUACUUCAUGAAAAUAAGGCACAAACAGAAGAGAAAGUUGCCCAAUUUAUUUUAGACUACAUAUAGGAAAUCGAAAGGGUAAAUAGGAAAAUACCUCUCAACACAACUGCUAAUGAAAACUAGAAGCCACCAAACGGUUUGAAUGUCAAAAUCAAUUUUGACGCUGCAUUUGAAAGACAGAAUUUUAGAUUGUGUACAAGAAUCGUUAUAAGGAAUGUUUUGGGUCAACUAUUAAAAACUAAAAUUUACAGAAACGAACAUAUACCAACAACAUUUGCAGCAGAAGCUCUCGCCUGCGUCCAGGCAAUACGUUUUGGGGCAGAAUCUGGUUUCUUACAAGUUGAAGUCGAGGGUGAUGCGUUAACUGCCAUCAAGAAAUUAAAAGGUCAGGAGGAGGAUGGAUUAGAAAUUAGAGCAUACAUUCUUGAUGCAAAACGAUUAUACAGUAAUUUUGUUACUAGUGAUUUUCAACAUGCAAGGAGACAAACGAAUAAAGUAGCUCACCUAUUAGCACAAGAAGGCUUAAGGGAAAGUGAAAAUACAUAUCUUAGGUCUGGCUUCUCCAGUGCGGUUGCAAGAGCUGUUGAAACUGAUAGGCCAAUAAUCAAUUAAAGCAUAUUUCUUUGACAGAAUCUGAAGACAAAAGGGGAAAUGGCUAUCUACAAAAGGGGAAAUGGGACAAAAGGGGAAAUGGCUAUCUACAAAAGGGGAAAUGGCUAUCUCUAUUUGAAAAAUAGGGAUUAGUUUGGGAAUUUUAAAAGAAAUAUAUGGAUGUCAAUAAUGGAAAGGUGUUUCGGGUAAUGCGUCAAUCCUAUUGAAGAAUGACCAAAAUAGUGAGAAAACUCACUAAUCAUGGAAAUACUUUACCAAGAGAGGAGAAGCUAAGAUUCAUGGCGGUUUACUAAAGAAACAUUGAAAAUAAAAAUGUGAAAGAAGAAGGGAAACCAUCUGAAAUGAAGAUUGGCUACGGUGACUGAUUUAGGGUUUCUUGAAAUGUUAUUUCGUUUAGGCAUUAGUAUUUUUUAG